Molecule: ribosomal RNA, 1065 nt
Filed under: Escherichia coli
Lineage: Bacteria; Pseudomonadati; Pseudomonadota; Gammaproteobacteria; Enterobacterales; Enterobacteriaceae
Description: partial 23S ribosomal RNA
Rfam family: Bacterial large subunit ribosomal RNA
Source: RNAcentral
GGGACACGUGGUAUCCUGUCUGAAUAUGGGGGGACCAUCCUCCAAGGCUAAAUACUCCUGACUGACCGAUAGUGAACCAGUACCGUGAGGGAAAGGCGAAAAGAACCCCGGCGAGGGGAGUGAAAAAGAACCUGAAACCGUGUACGUACAAGCAGUGGGAGCACGCUUAGGCGUGUGACUGCGUACCUUUUGUAUAAUGGGUCAGCGACUUAUAUUCUGUAGCAAGGUUAACCGAAUAGGGGAGCCGAAGGGAAACCGAGUCUUAACUGGGCGUUAAGUUGCAGGGUAUAGACCCGAAACCCGGUGAUCUAGCCAUGGGCAGGUUGAAGGUUGGGUAACACUAACUGGAGGACCGAACCGACUAAUGUUGAAAAAUUAGCGGAUGACUUGUGGCUGGGGGUGAAAGGCCAAUCAAACCGGGAGAUAGCUGGUUCUCCCCGAAAGCUAUUUAGGUAGCGCCUCGUGAAUUCAUCUCCGGGGGUAGAGCACUGUUUCGGCAAGGGGGUCAUCCCGACUUACCAACCCGAUGCAAACUGCGAAUACCGGAGAAUGUUAUCACGGGAGACACACGGCGGGUGCUAACGUCCGUCGUGAAGAGGGAAACAACCCAGACCGCCAGCUAAGGUCCCAAAGUCAUGGUUAAGUGGGAAACGAUGUGGGAAGGCCCAGACAGCCAGGAUGUUGGCUUAGAAGCAGCCAUCAUUUAAAGAAAGCGUAAUAGCUCACUGGUCGAGUCGGCCUGCGCGGAAGAUGUAACGGGGCUAAACCAUGCACCGAAGCUGCGGCAGCGACGCUUAUGCGUUGUUGGGUAGGGGAGCGUUCUGUAAGCCUGUGAAGGUGUGCUGUGAGGCAUGCUGGAGGUAUCAGAAGUGCGAAUGCUGACAUAAGUAACGAUAAAGCGGGUGAAAAGCCCGCUCGCCGGAAGACCAAGGGUUCCUGUCCAACGUUAAUCGGGGCAGGGUGAGUCGACCCCUAAGGCGAGGCCGAAAGGCGUAGUCGAUGGGAAACAGGUUAAUAUUCCUGUACUUGGUGUUACUGCGAAGGGGGGACGGAGAAGGCUAUGUU